This 283-nucleotide long non-coding RNA is filed under the name Sorghum bicolor (sorghum). RNAcentral's name for it is "long non-coding RNA (SBIC_LNC018790)". Lineage: Eukaryota; Viridiplantae; Streptophyta; Magnoliopsida; Poales; Poaceae. The record is from RNAcentral.
ACCCUCAUUAGUCACACAAUUUGGUUUUACCUUAACUUCCUUUUUAGAUGACCUAUUCUGAAGACAAGGAAGACCAUAAUGCCUACAGCAAUGGCAUUGAUCAUGAUAUCCCGAUGUAUUACUACCAACACCUCCAUGGGUUCUCAUAUUUUUCCAAGCUUCUGCUACUUGUUUCUUCACUGGUCCUGAGAUGCACUGCUGAGAGUUCCCAAUCUGAGUCAUUCCUUCCACUACUUGCUUUUGCAUGGCUAGAAGCUUCUCCUUAUCGAAUGCUUUUACGGGU